Long non-coding RNA from Salvia miltiorrhiza (redroot sage), 1876 nucleotides. RefSeq lists it as uncharacterized. The transcript has 3 exons. Lineage: Eukaryota; Viridiplantae; Streptophyta; Magnoliopsida; Lamiales; Lamiaceae. The record is from RefSeq and is a predicted model, not a curated record.
UUUAGUAUUGAUUGGAGAAGUUGUGGUGAUUAAUUGUGUUAUAACUUGCUUGCUUUGUGUUGAUGAGUUAAACAUGAGUUAAAUUUCAAGCUAAAGCAUGCUAAUGUGUAAUAAGAUGAUGUAAUUGAGUCCCUAUGGUUGUAUUUGACAAAAGUAUGAAUUAUAUGUUAAGUUGAAACAAAGGGACUUUGCUGUCAGUUUUCGGCUUGACAGGGCAGUAUGUUUCGAGGUGCUUCUGAUGGUGUUAUCGUAGUCUAAAUAACUUGAAAUUUUUACUGUAAUAACUUCGGCAUGAGUGGUACGUGUCUGCAAAAUUUCAGCUAAAUCCAACACCGUUAGAUAUGUCAAACGAAUUUCUGAAAUGUACUGCACGAAGAAGCGUAGGUCAGUGGCAGUUUCUGCCUUUGGUGAUAUAACUUCUUAUACACUUGAGACAUUGUAUUUUUGUAAAUUCCUGAUAAAUAUAGACUUUAAUAUCUUUCUAAAAAGAUAAAGCUUGUAUUUUUCUUUGAAGGGGUUGAUUUUAUAUGAUAUUUCAAAGUUGAGAUUCAUAUAUGAUUACAUAUUUGAAGUGACUUUAAUAUGAUUUCAACUUGAGAUAUCCCAAGAAAUAUGAUGUUAUUGUUUGUUUUGCAGAUAGUUAAGUCCAUAAAAGUAGAAUACUCAGAUUAGAGGAUGCAACUCCUGUGUGACGCUUGAGGUAAAAUAGCUAAAUGUUUGAUGCUUAUAUAAUUGAACACUUAGGAGCGUGGAAUGUGAAUAUAUGAUAGAAAUUGGGAGAUAUUGGGUAUGUUACUAUGUGUUGAGCCAAUUUUGAUUUAUGAAUAAGGGAAGAACUACUUUUAGUAUUGAUUGGAGAAGUUGUGGUGAUUAAUUGUGUUAUAACUUGCUUGCUUUGUGUUGAUGAGUUAAACAUGAGUUAAAUUAAUUGUGUUAUAACUUGCUUGCUUUGUGUUGAUGAGUUAAACAUGAGUUAAAUUUCAAGCUAAAGCAUGCUAAUGUGUAAUAAGAUGAUGUAAUUGAGUCCCUAUGGUUGUAUUUGACAAAAGUAUGAAUUAUAUGUUAAGUUGAAACAAAGGGACUUUGCUGUCAGUUUUCGGCUUGACAGGGCAGUAUGUUUCGAGGUGCUUCUGAUGGUGUUAUCGUAGUCUAAAUAACUUGAAAUUUUUACUGUAAUAACUUCGGCAUGAGUGGUACGUGUCUGCAAAAUUUCAGCUAAAUCCAACACCGUUAGAUAUGUCAAACGAAUUUCUGAAAUGUACUGCACGAAGAAGCGUAGGUCAGUGGCAGUUUCUGCCUUUGGUGAUAUAACUUCUUAUACACUUGAGACAUUGUAUUUUUGUAAAUUCCUGAUAAAUAUAGACUUUAAUAUCUUUCUAAAAAGAUAAAGCUUGUAUUUUUCUUUGAAGGGGUUGAUUUUAUAUGAUAUUUCAAAGUUGAGAUUCAUAUAUGAUUACAUAUUUGAAGUGACUUUAAUAUGAUUUCAACUUGAGAUAUCCCAAGAAAUAUGAUGUUAUUGUUUGUUUUGCAGUUAGUUAAGUCCAUAAAAGUAGAAUACUCAGAUUAGAGGAUGCAACUCCUGUGUGACGCUUGAGUUUGCAGGAGAAUGCUACUCCAAAAAGGAAAUUGAUGAAGUAAGGAUAGAGUGGAGUUGGUGCUAAAAAGCAGAGAAGAAAAGGAUCGGAAAUCACCGUGGUUCCGCUGCCGCCAUCGCCGAACCCGACCCAGACUCCCAGAAUACAAAUCUCAGCCCAAAAGUAAAAGUAUCAAGAUUCAAAUGUUGGAUGAAAUUUGUGAUGUUGGAUGUAAUAUUGGAUUAAUAAUGUUUGAAUGAAUGUAUGGAUUGUUAGUAUUAAUAUAUGUAUUUUUAGUUUUC